UACGGAAGGCAGCAGUGGGGAAUAUUGCACAAUGGGCGAAAGCCUGAUGCAGCUAUGCCGCGUGUAUGAAGAAGGCCUUAGGGUUGUAAAGUACUUUCAUCGGGGAGGAAAAAACAAACUAAUAAUUUUAUUUCUUGACGUUACCCGAAAAAGAAGCACCGGCUAACUCCGUGCCAGCAGCCGCGGUAAUACGGAGGGUGCUAGCGUUAAUCAGAAUUACUGGGCGUAAAGAGCACGUAGGUGGUUUUUUUAAGUUCAGAUGUGAAUCCCUGGGCUUAACCUGGAACUGCAUUUUGAAACUGAAAUACUAGAGUAUCGUAGAGGGAGGUAGAAUUCUAGGUGUAGCGGUGAAAUGCGUAGAUAUCUGGAGGAAUACCUGUGGCGAAAGCGGCCUCCUAAACGAAUACUGACACUGAGGUGCGAAAGCGUGGGGAGCAAACAGGGAUUAGAUACC
RNAcentral lists this ribosomal RNA (454 nucleotides) under uncultured bacterium. RNAcentral's name for it is "bacterial SSU rRNA". It matches the Rfam family "Bacterial small subunit ribosomal RNA", at positions 340 to 786 of the family's 1533-position model. The record is from RNAcentral.